CGAGACCAAUUAGGGAGGACCUCCACC
RNAcentral lists this small RNA (27 nucleotides) under Bombyx mori (domestic silkworm). RNAcentral's name for it is "ovarian small RNA-14224". Lineage: Eukaryota; Metazoa; Arthropoda; Insecta; Lepidoptera; Bombycidae. The record is from RNAcentral.